RNAcentral lists this ribosomal RNA (153 nucleotides) under uncultured bacterium. RNAcentral's name for it is "partial 16S ribosomal RNA". It matches the Rfam family "Bacterial small subunit ribosomal RNA", at positions 355 to 525 of the family's 1533-position model. The record is from RNAcentral.
UAGGGAAUAUUGGACAAUGGGCGAAAGCCUGAUCCAGCAAUGCCGCGUGAGUGAUGAAGGCCUUAGGGUUGUAAAGCUCUUUUACCCGGGAUGAUAAUGACAGUACCGGGAGAAUAAGCUCCGGCUAACUCCGUGCCAGCAGCCGCGGUAAUA